CCUACGGGAGGCAGCAGUGAGGAAUAUUGGUCAAUGGGCGGAAGCCUGAACCAGCCAAGUAGCGUGCAGGAUGACGGCCCUACGGGUUGUAAACUGCGUUUAUAAGGGAAUAAGGCGCAGGACGGGUAGGGCGUUGAAUGGACGGUAUGAAGAAGGACAGGCUAAGUCCGUGCCAGCAGCCGCGGUAAUACGGACGGUCCGGGCGUUAUCCGGAUUGAUUGGGUUUAAAGGGAGCGUAGGGGGCCUGUCAAGGGUGCUGUGAAAUGUCCGGGCUCAACCCGGGCCUUGCAGCGCGUACUGGCGUGCUUGAGUCCUCUGGAGGCAGGCGGAAUUC
RNAcentral lists this ribosomal RNA (334 nucleotides) under uncultured bacterium. RNAcentral describes it as "partial 16S ribosomal RNA". It matches the Rfam family "Bacterial small subunit ribosomal RNA", at positions 338 to 669 of the family's 1533-position model. The record is from RNAcentral.